CUAGGGAAGGGAAAGAAUGAGAGGGUUCAAGAAAUCAAGAGAAGGGGGAACAGGAACAUGGUGGAAAGCAUGAGCUCUAAACUUCUUCGACGUUCGGCUUUUUGUUUUUCUGAUGCCUCGCAUUCCUAUUGUUCUUGGGUGCUCCUUCCCCUUCCUUCUCGUC
Molecule: microRNA precursor, 163 nt
Filed under: Oryza longistaminata (longstamen rice)
Lineage: Eukaryota; Viridiplantae; Streptophyta; Magnoliopsida; Poales; Poaceae
Description: pre miRNA MIR2118
Source: RNAcentral